Molecule: long non-coding RNA, 449 nt
Filed under: Coturnix japonica (Japanese quail)
Lineage: Eukaryota; Metazoa; Chordata; Aves; Galliformes; Phasianidae
Description: lncRNA (ENSCJPG00005009842.1)
Source: RNAcentral
ACUUAUUUGGGGCAAAGAACAAACUCACCACUGUUAGAGAGAGUUCAUUCCUCGUAAUGGACUGUCAGAGUUGUCAGAAGUUGUGUGGAAAACAUACCAAUAAAGAGGAAAGGAUCAGCAGAUUGAAAAAGAAGGCGACAAAACUUGGGAAAUAAAGGAGACCUGAGUAUCUUUCUAAGCCAUUGACUUGCCCUGACCUCGAGUGCUGCAUUUGGACACUGCGUGCUUCUAUUAUUCCAGUGGUCAAAAGGGGACACAAAACAUGUAUGUGUCCUCUUGCCAUAUGUGGAUAGAAAGCAUUAGGAGAUGGGGAGGUGUAAGGAGAGUGAAUGGAGGUGCACGGGGAUGCUCAGAACCAGAUGAUCACCCUAAUGUUGGUGACGUGGAAGAUUUUGUGCAGCCUCACUCAGUGUUUCCCAGCACUAACAAUCCUGGGCUGGAACCCCUCC